GAUCACACACGAGCACGGGAUCUCUGUGAUGCGCACGGGAACGGCACCGUCGCCGCCGCCACGUGCGACCGGUCGUCCUCUCCGGCCAUCCGUCGCUACCAAGCGCGGCCGGUAGUCCUCUCCGGCCAUUCGCCGCCUUGUCCGCCACCCCCUCCCCAUGCGUCCCCAAUCAGCCUCCUCGAUCUCCAACCUCAUGUUGUCGUCCUUCUCUGAUUUGGAUCAAAGUGGAGCCAUCAAUGGAAGCAGGGGAGCAGCAGAUGUGGAGCCAUUGGACGAGGAGGAACAGCUCGGGUAACAUGAGGGAAGGGGUGGAUCUGACGGAAGCGGGGGAGCACAGAAGAUGGAGCCAUCUUAUUGACCCGUUUGGCGACCGGCCGGCUAGCCAAUCCCCUUCACUCCCAUCACGUCAUGUAGCUCCGACGGUUGCCUGCCCGCACGGGGAUAGAUGUCUUCGCCGUCACACGUGAGGAUGUUCUUGGACACUCUGUGUUGCUGCUGUUUGUAGUUGCAGAAGUUUUAAGGAGUCAGAGUAGCUUCCACAUCUGUAGUUAGGGCUGACGAUUGUGAUUUUGGGCCUGUACUGAAUAAUUUUGGGACCGGCUAGGUGAUUACAAGCCAGGAGGACUGCAUGUGACGAGUUAAGGGCUUAAGGCACAAGAAGAACUACGGCCAUUUUAGCUCCAGCACUAAGUACACAACCAAUCAACCAUGCAUUUUCAUGACCCAGGUUUCUGAAUUCUGGCUGACAGGCUCCCUACCACAGCCACAUAAUCUCACACAUUCAAAUUGCUAGCUACACAAAAUACGCCCGGAUCUACGAGUAGAAAUCCAAGAGAGCAUGGAACGCUAUAUGGAAGGAGAUGCCAUUGCUACCUCUUGAGCACUACGUUGGUUUUCCCUUGAAGUGGAAAGGGUGAUGCAGCAAAGUAGCGGUUCAGAACUGUUACCUUGCUACACCUACACAUGUGGAAAACUUAAACUUGGCAGUCUAAAUUAAGCAGCAAACUUCAUUGCCGGUCAUCUAAAAAUUCAGUGACAACAGCUGGCACACGCGCUUCAUUUUUUAGUACAGAUAGUAGAUGAUGCAGAUGACAGUUCUACCUCUUUGACUGAAACAAGAACUUUCUCACCAAGGGCAUACCUACAAGACAGCGGCAUACCUGCAGGACAGCAGGAGGUCCUCAGGCAUGCAUCACACAUUCACCAAAGAUAUGGAGCUACCAUUUUAGAUUAGUACUAGCAUAUUGGUACAUAGUGUGUGUGUUAGCAUAUUAGUAGUAGCAUACCUAUAGGAGGUCCUAAGUUUGUUCAGUUCUAUACAAAUUUGAGUUCGUAUGUAGUGUUGAGAGGAUCCUAAAAUA
This is a long non-coding RNA of Triticum aestivum (bread wheat), 1361 nucleotides long. RefSeq lists it as uncharacterized. NCBI's taxonomy places the organism in Eukaryota, Viridiplantae, Streptophyta, Magnoliopsida, Poales, Poaceae. The transcript has 4 exons. The record is from RefSeq and is a predicted model, not a curated record.